This 110-nucleotide small RNA is filed under the name Salmonella enterica subsp. enterica serovar Heidelberg. RNAcentral describes it as "partial RtT sRNA". It matches the Rfam family "RtT RNA", at positions 23 to 130 of the family's 130-position model. From Rfam's summary of the family: This family represents a bacterial cis-regulatory element known as RtT RNA. The record is from RNAcentral. RNAcentral also lists the same sequence under 7 other names. Lineage: Bacteria; Pseudomonadati; Pseudomonadota; Gammaproteobacteria; Enterobacterales; Enterobacteriaceae.
UGAGAAGCUUCGACUAAGGUUCGAUUCGAGCGUCAGCGAGAAAGCGUUGCCGCAGGCAACGACCCGAAGGGCGAAGCGCGCAGCGCUGAGUCAUCCUUCCCCCACCACCA